RNA transcript from Eleginops maclovinus (Patagonian blennie), 2269 nucleotides. It is a transcript of the gene named serine and arginine rich splicing factor 7a, with no coding region annotated. Lineage: Eukaryota; Metazoa; Chordata; Actinopteri; Perciformes; Eleginopidae. The record is from RefSeq and is a predicted model, not a curated record. The transcript has 9 exons.
UGUCAGUCUUGCGGAAAUGCGGAAAUGACGCCUUUACGACAUUGGGUUGUAUUUGGUUUCUGAUGGUUUUGGUUAACCCGGUCCACUGUGGACCAGACAUGUUGAAGUGUCUUUAAUAUCCAUAAGAGUGGCUUUAUAGCUCGCUCAUUUUGCAACACGAGUUUUGACUCGGUUAAAACCCACCCUGGGCUUCCGUUAGAGACGGUGUAAGUUCUUCCCCGCGUGGAUCUGCAUCAGAGUCAGCGGAAGAAGGAGGCAGGAGGAGAUGUCUCACUAUUCAUCCUCCCGUAGCUCAUCUCGGGCCACCGACUGUAAAGUGUAUGUUGGGGACUUAGGCAAUGGUGCUGCCAAGGGGGAGCUAGAGCGAGCAUUCAGCUAUUACGGCCCACUGAGGACCGUCUGGGUGGCCAGGAACCCACCUGGGUUUGCCUUCGUGGAGUUUGAGGAUCCCAGGGAUGCAGAAGAUGCUGUGAAGGGCAUGGAUGGAAAGAUUCUUUGUGGUUCCCGUGUUCGUGUGGAGCUGUCGACAGGCCUCUCCAGGAAGGGCCGUGGACGCCCCAGCCGACGCCAGUUUGACCCCAAUGAUCGGUGUUACCAGUGUGGGGACCGAGGCCACUACGCCUAUGACUGCUACCGCUUUAGCAAGAGAGGAGGCCGUCGCAGCAGGUCCCGUUCUCGUUCUAGAUCUCGCUCAAGGUCCAGGUCCCGCGGGCGCCGUUAUCGCUCUCGCUCCCGCAGCCGGAGCCACAGCAGGAGCCGUCGCCGAUCUCCAUCCUAUUCCAGACGAAGGAGCCGGUCUGGCUCCCCAGCCCGUUCCAAGUCCAGGACUCCGGUGAGAAGUCGUUCCAGGUCUCGGUCUCGGUCUACCUCUGCACCCAGAGGGCGCUCUUCGCCCAGAGGCCGCUCUCCUCCCAGAGGUCGCUCCCCCCCAAGAGGUCGCUCUGUCUCCCAUUCCCGAUCACGAUCUCAUUCAGCCGACCACAAAAGGAGCAGCGUGUGGUGGGAGCUGAGCACUGCACUGAAACCACAGCUGAUCCCAGGCCCAGGGUCUGCCAGCUGGCGGUGUGUACGUCCUGCGGGAGGGUGACUAAGCGCUGACCUGAGAUCAGCCUUCGCCUGCAUCUGGUGUUAGACAGCGAGAAAGAGGUCGACCUUCCGACCUACCCUCCCCACAGUGAAUGGGUGACCGUCUGUUCGACCGACGCACACGCUCAGACGAGAUCAGCCCGUGCACACAUUCAGUUGUUCUACUAGAGUCUUCAGAAGUACCAGAGGGCUGACCCACACAGAUCAUUUAAAUCCAUUACCUACCUACCAGACCCCCCUACCUACCAGAGUUCUUCGGCCUCUGACUUAGCUUCUGAAAGUGAGAGAAAGAGCUGACGAGAGAUCAGACUUCAAGAGCCUCCCAGCGCAGUCUCACCGAGUUGUAGUCAUCCUUCGCUUCUGUGUACUUGUUGUUUCUGCCACUGUCUCCAAAGUCGUUCCCGUUCAGCAAGCCCUCACCGCAGCCCUACGCCAGCAGCUGACUGAGAGAAGAAGACUUAUUAUUCCUUAUCAGACAGACCCACAACCCCUGCACCUGUCUGCUUUCACUGUCUGACUAAUCCAAAUCUUUUUUAAGUUACAUUUUCUUCCCCAUGAUUGUAUUCUGUGUGCAGCUUUUGGUUGUUAGUCAGUAUAGUAAGAAAAACAUCUAUUUUAAUUUGAUCGUUUUAGUUGUUGCUUCUGCUGCAUAGCUUAUCUUCCUUAUUUGAAGUGGGGUAGCUACACUCCUGUGAAGGUAACGUUGCCAUUAACUUUUAGCUAGGUUUUGUGCAGUUUAAGAUGGGGUUUUUGAGGGGAGGGACAUUGCAUUUAAAACUGCUUUUAUUCCUGAAAGUGUCAAAUCUCAAACUAUUUUUCUCCAUUGAGAAUUGGCAAAAUAUUAUUAUUUUGUAUUGCCUCCAUUUUGAUUUCUAAAUUCUGAUGCUGUUAAAUGCUUCAUGAUGGCAUGAGGAGGUAUUUGUUGGCCGGCAUGCCUUUAAAAUGACGUUGAGUGUGUUUCUGUCAUGCACUGUCCCUUUUAUGAACAAGAUCAGUUUCAGUGUGUGCUGAAUUGAUGUUCCCCAUGUGUUGAUCUCCGAUCUGUUCCAGUCACUUUUAGUUUUACAGUAUACACAGUGCUGGAGUUUGAUUUCUGUAGGGCUGCUUUAAUAGCUUUGGGCUGUUCCUGGCUUAUAUGGUAAGACGGAGGCAGUUUUAUUUUAGAAUAAACCUCUUCAACAUA